This 469-nucleotide ribosomal RNA is filed under the name uncultured bacterium. Its description in RNAcentral is "partial 16S ribosomal RNA". It matches the Rfam family "Bacterial small subunit ribosomal RNA", at positions 27 to 507 of the family's 1533-position model. The record is from RNAcentral.
GGACGAACGCUGGCGGCGUGCUUAACACAUGCAAGUCGAACGGAAAGGCCCUGCUUUUGUGGGGUGCUCGAGUGGCGAACGGGUGAGUAACACGUGAGUAACCUGCCCUUGACUUUGGGAUAACUUCAGGAAACUGGGGCUAAUACCGGAUAGGAGCUCCUGCUGCAUGGUGGGGGUUGGAAAGUUUCGGCGGUUGGGGAUGGACUCGCGGCUUAUCAGCUUGUUGGUGGGGUAGUGGCUUACCAAGGCUUUGACGGGUAGCCGGCCUGAGAGGGUGACCGGCCACAUUGGGGCUGAGAUACGGCCCAGACUCCUACGGGAGGCAGCAGUGGGGAAUAUUGCACAAUGGGCGGAAGCCUGAUGCAGCAACGCCGCGUGCGGGAUGACGGCCUUCGGGUUGUAAACCGCUUUCGCCUGUGACGAAGCGUGAGUGACGGUAAUGGGUAAAGAAGCACCGGCUAACUACGUG